Molecule: transfer RNA, 67 nt
Filed under: Meloimorpha japonica
Lineage: Eukaryota; Metazoa; Arthropoda; Insecta; Orthoptera; Phalangopsidae
Description: tRNA-Asn
Source: RNAcentral
UUAAUUGAAACCAAAAAGAGGUAUAUUAUUGUUAAUAAUAUCAUUGAAUUAAUAAGUUCCAAUUAAG